CUACGGGCGGCUCCAGUGGGGAAUAUUGCACAAUGGGCGCAAGCCUGAUGCAGCCAUGCCGCGUGUAUGAAGAGGGCCUUCGGGUUGUAAAGUACUUUCAGCGGGGAGGAAGGGAGUAAAGUUAAUACCUUUGCUCAUUGACGUUACCCGCAGAAGAAGCACCGGCUAACUCCGUGCCGGCAGCCGCGGUAAUACGGAGGGUGCAAGCGUUAAUCGGAAUUACUGGGCGUAAAGCGCACGCAGGCGGUUUGUUAAGUCAGAUGUGAAAUCCCCGGGCUCAACCUGGGAACUGCAUCUGAUACUGGCAAGCUUGAGUCUCGUAGAGGGGGGUAGAAUUCCAGGUGUAGCGGUGAAAUGCGUAGAGAUCUGGAGGAAUACCGGUGGCGAAGGCGGCCCCCUGGACGAAGACUGACGCUCAGGUGCGAAAGCGUGGGGAGCAAACAGGAUUAGAUACCCCGGUAGUC
RNAcentral lists this ribosomal RNA (464 nucleotides) under uncultured bacterium. Its description in RNAcentral is "partial 16S ribosomal RNA". It matches the Rfam family "Bacterial small subunit ribosomal RNA", at positions 339 to 795 of the family's 1533-position model. The record is from RNAcentral.